Molecule: ribosomal RNA, 718 nt
Filed under: uncultured bacterium
Lineage: Bacteria
Description: bacterial SSU rRNA
Rfam family: Bacterial small subunit ribosomal RNA
Source: RNAcentral
AGCGGCGGAUGGGUGAGUAACACGUGGGGAACCUGCCCCUAAGUCUGGGAUACCAUUUGGAAACAGGUGCUAAUACCGGAUAAUAAAGCAGAUCGCACGAUCAGCUUUUGAAAGGCGGCGUAAGCUGUCGCUAAGGGAUGGCCCCGCGGUGCAUUAGCUAGUUGGUAAGGUAACGGCUUACCAAGGCGACGAUGCAUAGCCGAGUUGAGAGACUGAUCGGCCACAUUGGGACUGAGACACGGCCCAAACUCCUACGGGAGGCAGCAGUAGGGAAUCUUCCACAAUGGACGCAAGUCUGAUGGAGCAACGCCGCGUGAGUGAAGAAGGUUUUCGGAUCGUAAAGCUCUGUUGUUGGUGAAGAAGGAUAGAGGUAGUAACUGGCCUUUAUUUGACGGUAAUCAACCAGAAAGUCACGGCUAACUACGUGCCAGCAGCCGCGGUAAUACGUAGGUGGCAAGCGUUGUCCGGAUUUAUUGGGCGUAAAGCGAGCGCAGGCGGAAAAAUAAGUCUAAUGUGAAAGCCCUCGGCUUAACCGAGGAACUGCAUCGGAAACUGUUUUUUCUUGAGUGCAGAAGAAGGAGAGUGGAACUCCCAUGUGUAGCGGUGGAAUGCGUAGAUAUAUGGGAAGAACACCCAGUGGGCGAAAGCGGCUCUUCUUGGGUCUGCAACUUGACGCUGAGGGCUCGAAAGGCAUGGGGUAGCCGGAACAGGGGAUUAG